Molecule: ribosomal RNA, 279 nt
Filed under: uncultured bacterium
Lineage: Bacteria
Description: partial 16S ribosomal RNA
Rfam family: Bacterial small subunit ribosomal RNA
Source: RNAcentral
UGCCAGCCGCCGCGGUAAUACGUAGGUGGCAAGCGUUGUCCGGAUUUACUGGGCGUAAAGAGUGUGUAGGCGGAUAAUUAAGUCAGGUGUGAAAUCCCGGGGCUCAACCCCGGAGGUGCAUUUGAUACUGGUUAUCUAGAGUGCGGGAGAGGAGAGUGGAAUUCCUAGUGUAGCGGUGAAAUGCGUAGAGAUUAGGAAGAACACCAGUGGCGAAGGCGACUCUCUGGACCGUAACUGACGCUGAGACACGAAAGCGUGGGGAGCAAACAGGAUUAGAUA